AGUGAGCGCUGGCGGUAGGCCUAACACAUGCAAGUCGAACGGCAGCACAGUAAGAGCUUGCUCUUACGGGUGGCGAGUGGCGGACGGGUGAGGAAUACAUCGGAAUCUACUUUUUCGUGGGGGAUAACGUAGGGAAACUUACGCUAAUACCGCAUACGACCUACGGGUUAAAGCAGGGGAUCUUCGGACCUUGCGCGAUUCAAUUAGCCGAUGUCGGAUUAGCUAGUUGGCGGGGUAAAGGCCCACCAAGGCGACGAUCCGUAGCUGGUCUGAGAGGAUGAUCAGACACACUGGAACUGAGACACGGUCCAGACUCCUACGGGAGGCAGCAGUGGGGAAUAUUGGACAAUGGGCGCAGGCCUGAUCCAGCCAUACCGCGUGGGUGAAGAAGGCCUUCGGGUUGUAAAGCCCUUUUGUUGGGAAAGAAAAGCAGCAGGUUAAUACCCCGCUGUUCUGACGGUACCCAAAGAAUAAGCACCGGCUAACUUCGUG
This 492-nucleotide ribosomal RNA is filed under the name uncultured bacterium. Its description in RNAcentral is "partial 16S ribosomal RNA". It matches the Rfam family "Bacterial small subunit ribosomal RNA", at positions 29 to 507 of the family's 1533-position model. The record is from RNAcentral.